This 754-nucleotide long non-coding RNA is filed under the name Homo sapiens (human). RNAcentral's name for it is "HSALNT0293057". The record is from RNAcentral. Lineage: Eukaryota; Metazoa; Chordata; Mammalia; Primates; Hominidae.
UGCAGUGGUGCAAUCUCAGCUCACUGCAACCUCCGCCUCCUGGGCUCAAGUGAUCCUUCUCUCUCAGCCUCCAGAAUAGCUGGGACCACAGGUGCAUGCCACCACACCCAGCUAAUUUUUGUAUUUUUUGUAGAGAUGGGGUUUUGCCAUGUUGGCCAGGCUGGUCUUGAACUCCUGAGCUCAAGUGAUCUGCCCACCUUAGCCUCCCAAAAGUGCUGGGAUUACAGGCUGGAUCAGGAAGCUGUUUCUGGUCUAGAAAUGAAGUGUUGUCAUGUUCACAUCCAGCCAGCUUGGGGUCUGAAGGGAAGUGUACAAUCUGUGAGAAGACUGUGUGCUACUCUGCAAAUUGCAGAUAAUUACUCUGAACAGAGAAGUCCUUUGAAGUUGCUGCAUGAGAGGGCCACCAUCCUCCAGACCCCAGAAUGGUAGAUCCACUGGCAGCUUGCACCAUGUGCCUGCAAAAGCUGCAGGCACUCAAAGCUAGACCUUGAGAGCAGCUGCUGGGGCUGAAUCCUGCAAAGCCACAGGGCUGGAGCUGCCAAGGCCUUGGGAGCCCACACACUGCGUCACUGUGUCCCAGAUUGGAGUCAGAGGAGAUUAUUUUGGAGCUUUAAUUUUUAAUGACUGCAGGGCAGUCAUUAAAUUUUUUUUAUAUAAUUUUUUUACAUAAAAGUCCAGCUCCCCCUUUGCCUUCCACCAUGAUUGUAUGUUUCCUGAGGCCUCCCCAGCCAUUUGAACUGUGAGUCAAUUAAAC